ACCGGUUUGGCUCAGUGGAUAGAGCGUCGGCCUGCGGACUGAAAGGUCCCAGGUUCGAUUCUGGUCAAGGGCA
RNAcentral lists this transfer RNA (73 nucleotides) under Cnephaeus nilssonii (northern bat). RNAcentral's name for it is "tRNA-OTHER". Lineage: Eukaryota; Metazoa; Chordata; Mammalia; Chiroptera; Vespertilionidae. The record is from RNAcentral.